RNAcentral lists this long non-coding RNA (222 nucleotides) under Elaeis guineensis (African oil palm). RNAcentral describes it as "long non-coding RNA (EGUI_LNC053871)". Lineage: Eukaryota; Viridiplantae; Streptophyta; Magnoliopsida; Arecales; Arecaceae. The record is from RNAcentral.
GGGGCACCUAAAUCAGUCAUACUGAUUUACCUAUAGAGUAUGGGUUAGUUUGAAUCAAUAAGCAACCUAAUCAAAAGUUGCUUGACCAUAUUGACCAGGUAAAUGAGAUCGGUGGGAGGGUCUGUCAAAGCUUGCCUUAGUUACCAUCAAAAUGGCCAGAUAAGUGGGCUGCCAAUUAAAAACCAUCGAUCACAAUGUCAUAUUUAUCUUAGACACCAAUUG